This 598-nucleotide ribosomal RNA is filed under the name uncultured bacterium. RNAcentral describes it as "bacterial SSU rRNA". It matches the Rfam family "Bacterial small subunit ribosomal RNA", at positions 917 to 1519 of the family's 1533-position model. The record is from RNAcentral.
GGACCCGCACAAGCGGUGGAUGAUGUGGAUUAAUUCGAUGCAACGCGAACAACCUUACCUACCCUUGACAUGUCCGAGAGCCUGCUGAAAGGUGGGUGUGCCCGAAAGGGAAUCGGAACACAGGUGCUGCAUGGCUGUCGUCAGCUCGUGUCGUGAGAUGUUGGGUUAAGUCCCGCAACGAGCGCAACCCUUGUCCCUAGUUGCUACGCAAGGGCACUCUAGGGAGACUGCCGGUGACAAACCGGAGGAAGGUGGGGAUGACGUCAAGUCCUCAUGGCCCUUAUGGGUAGGGCUUCACACGUCAUACAAUGGUCGGUACAGAGGGUCGCCAACCCGCGAGGGGGAGCCAAUCCCACAAAGCCGAUCGUAGUCCGGAUUGCAGUCUGCAACUCGACUGCAUGAAGUCGGAAUCGCUAGUAAUCGUGGAUCAGCAUGUCACGGUGAAUACGUUCCCGGGUCUUGUACACACCGCCCGUCACACCAUGGGAGCGGGAUGUACCAGAAGUAGGUAGGCUAACCGCAAGGAGGCCGCUUACCACGGUGCGUUUCGUGACUGGGGUGAAGUCGUAACAAGGUAGCCGUAUCGGAAGGUGCGGCU